ANAGUCUGGGAUACCACUUGGAAACAGGUGCUAAUACCGGAUAAGAAAGCGGAUCGCAUGAUCAGCUUUUAAAAGGCGGCGUAAGCUGUCGCUAUGGGAUGGCCCCGCGGUGCAUUAGCUAGUUGGUAAGGUAAAGGCUUACCAAGGCGAUGAUGCAUAGCCGAGUUGAGAGACUGAUCGGCCACAUUGGGACUGAGACACGGCCCAAACUCCUACGGGAGGCAGCAGCC
RNAcentral lists this ribosomal RNA (230 nucleotides) under uncultured Lactobacillus sp. RNAcentral's name for it is "partial 16S ribosomal RNA". It matches the Rfam family "Bacterial small subunit ribosomal RNA", at positions 133 to 355 of the family's 1533-position model. Lineage: Bacteria; Bacillati; Bacillota; Bacilli; Lactobacillales; Lactobacillaceae. The record is from RNAcentral.